RNAcentral lists this ribosomal RNA (1119 nucleotides) under Enterococcus faecium. Its description in RNAcentral is "bacterial SSU rRNA". It matches the Rfam family "Bacterial small subunit ribosomal RNA", at positions 173 to 1280 of the family's 1533-position model. The record is from RNAcentral. Lineage: Bacteria; Bacillati; Bacillota; Bacilli; Lactobacillales; Enterococcaceae.
AACAAUCGAAACCGCAAUGGUUUUGAUUUGAAAGGCGCUUUCGGGUGUCGCUGAUGGAUGGACCCGCGGUGCAUUAGCUAGUUGGUGAGGUAACGGCUCACCAAGGCCACGAUGCAUAGCCGACCUGAGAGGGUGAUCGGCCACAUUGGGACUGAGACACGGCCCAAACUCCUACGGGAGGCACCAGUAGGGAAUCUUCGGCAAUGGACGAAAGUCUGACCGAGCAACGCCGCGUGAGUGAAGAAGGUUUUCGGAUCGUAAAACUCUGUUGUUAGAGAAGAACAAGGAUGAGAGUAACUGUUCAUCCCUUGACGGUAUCUAACCACAAAGCCACGGCUAACUACGUGCCAGCAGCCGCGGUAAUACGUACGUGGCAAGCGUUGUCCGGAUUUAUUGGGCGUAAAGCGAGCGCAGGCGGUUUCUUAAGUCUGAUGUGAAAGCCCCCGGCUCAACCGGGGAGGGUCAUUGGAAACUGGGAGACUUGAGUGCAGAUGAGGAGAGUGGAAUUCCAUGUGUAGCGGUGAAAUGCGUAGAUAUAUGGAGGAACACCAGUGGCGAAGGCGGCUCUCUGGUCUGUAACUGACGCUGAGGCUCGAAAGCGUGGGGAGCAAACAGGAUUAGAUACCCUGGUAGUCCACGCCGUAAACGAUGAGUGCUAAGUGUUGGAGGGUUUCCGCCCUUCAGUGCUGCAGCUAACGCAUUAAGCACUCCGCCUGGGGAGUACGACCGCAAGGUUGAAACUCAAAGGAAUUGACGGGGGCCCGCACAAGCGGUGGAGCAUGUGGUUUAAUUCGAAGCAACGCGAAGAACCUUACCAGGUCUUGACAUCCUUUGACCACUCUAGAGAUAGAGCUUCCCCUUCGGGGGCAAAGUGACAGGUGGUGCAUGGUUGUCGUCAGCUCGUGUCGUGAGAUGUUGGGUUAAGUCCCGCAACGAGCGCAACCCUUAUUGUUAGUUGCCAUCAUUCAGUUGGGCACUCUAGCAAGACUGCCGGUGACAAACCGGAGGAAGGUGGGGAUGACGUCAAAUCAUCAUGCCCCUUAUGACCUGGGCUACACACGUGCUUCAAUGGGAAGUACAACGAGUUGGGAAGUCGCGAGGUUAAGGUAAUCUUUUAAA